Molecule: ribosomal RNA, 745 nt
Filed under: Salmonella enterica subsp. enterica serovar Thompson
Lineage: Bacteria; Pseudomonadati; Pseudomonadota; Gammaproteobacteria; Enterobacterales; Enterobacteriaceae
Also listed under: 1 other name
Description: partial 23S ribosomal RNA
Rfam family: Bacterial large subunit ribosomal RNA
Source: RNAcentral
CCGACCUUGAAAUACCACCCUUUAAUGUUUGAUGUUCUAACGUGGACCCGUAAUCCGGGUUGCGGACAGUGUCUGGUGGGUAGUUUGACUGGGGCGGUCUCCUCCUAAAGAGUAACGGAGGAGCACGAAGGUUGGCUAAUCCUGGUCGGACAUCAGGAGGUUAGUGCAAUGGCAUAAGCCAGCUUGACUGCGAGCGUGACGGCGCGAGCAGGUGCGAAAGCAGGUCAUAGUGAUCCGGUGGUUCUGAAUGGAAGGGCCAUCGCUCAACGGAUAAAAGGUACUCCGGGGAUAACAGGCUGAUACCGCCCAAGAGUUCAUAUCGACGGCGGUGUUUGGCACCUCGAUGUCGGCUCAUCACAUCCUGGGGCUGAAGUAGGUCCCAAGGGUAUGGCUGUUCGCCAUUUAAAGUGGUACGCGAGCUGGGUUUAGAACGUCGUGAGACAGUUCGGUCCCUAUCUGCCGUGGGCGCUGGAGAACUGAGGGGGGCUGCUCCUAGUACGAGAGGACCGGAGUGGACGCAUCACUGGUGUUCGGGUUGUCAUGCCAAUGGCACUGCCCGGUAGCUAAAUGCGGAAGAGAUAAGUGCUGAAAGCAUCUAAGCACGAAACUUGCCCCGAGAUGAGUUCUCCCUGAGACUUAGAGUCUCCUGAAGGAACGUUGAAGACGACGACGUUGAUAGGCCGGGUGUGUAAGCGCAGCGAUGCGUUGAGCUAACCGGUACUAAUGAACCGUGAGGCUUAACCUU